Molecule: ribosomal RNA, 435 nt
Filed under: uncultured Flavobacterium sp.
Lineage: Bacteria; Pseudomonadati; Bacteroidota; Flavobacteriia; Flavobacteriales; Flavobacteriaceae
Description: bacterial SSU rRNA
Rfam family: Bacterial small subunit ribosomal RNA
Source: RNAcentral
GGAAUAUUGGACAAUGGGCGCAAGCCUGAUCCAGCCAUGCCGCGUGCAGGAUGACGGUCCUAUGGAUUGUAAACUGCUUUUGCACAGGAAGAAACAACGCUACGUGUAGCGUCUUGACGGUACUGUGAGAAUAAGGAUCGGCUAACUCCGUGCCAGCAGCCGCGGUAAUACGGAGGAUCCAAGCGUUAUCCGGAAUCAUUGGGUUUAAAGGGUCCGUAGGCGGUUUAGUAAGUCAGUGGUGAAAGCCCAUCGCUCAACGGUGGAACGGCCAUUGAUACUGCUAGACUUGAAUUAUAAGGAAGUAACUAGAAUAUGUAGUGUAGCGGUGAAAUGCUUAGAGAUUACAUGGAAUACCAAUUGCGAAGGCAGGUUACUACUUAUGGAUUGACGCUGAUGGACGAAAGCGUGGGUAGCGAACAGGAUUAGAUACCCUAG